GACAGACAUAGCUUAGCCAGACUUCAUGUCCUGGUGCUGGUACAUGCAGUCCAUGCGCCCCUGACCUAAUUACUUGGCUCUCCUCCUCCUUAGGCACGGGCCACUGUUCAGCCAGUGGCUGCUGUGGCCUGUCCCCAACAGUGGGGCUGCUCUGCUGUCACCACGGGAUCCAAGCGCUCCCUGCGACUUCCAACUCCCAUCUUACUGUCAGGUCUGAUUCAGCUGGCUCACAGCUGUCAAAGCCAUGUGGCAUAGCUUCCCCCACAUAAAUCUGUUUUAAAACAGAAACCCUCUAGGCAAAUGAGCAAGCGUGUGCUUCUGAGGCUGUCAUUAAACCAGAGCUCUUGUAACUUUACUUAUGAAAUCAGACAGGCAAUGACUGGAACAAACGACUUGGCCCCGGCAGCUUCAUGGUAGCAGGAAGAUUACCACGCCCUCCUCGGAGCCUGGGGUGGCUGGCGAAUACCUGCACUGUGCGAGCCAUUGGUCCUGCAUUCCACACAAGGUUUGCUCUCCGGGAUGGGCAGAGACGCUGCGCUCCUGAAUGAAGACAAACGGUUCCUUUCACACCAAGUUACCCGUAACUUCAGACCUCCCCACCUGCCAGUGUAGCUAGUCUCUGCGGCAGGGCUCCAGUUUGAACUGUAGGAAGCCAACAGAAAAACUCUUAAUUCUGCUUUUAGAAAGCUGUCUGAAGGUAGUUCUUAUUAACAGCCUUUCCAACCACAUCACCUCAAACCUAACAUUUUACAAAAACCAACAACGAAAGCCAACCCUGUCUUCCCAGAGUGUCCUGAUGGCAUUCCGCCCCUGCAGAGACAACCUUGUUCUACAUCGACAGGUCCAUCUGAGAGAGCUGCACAAUGAACCCACAGUGAUCCGUGUGAGAGGGCAAGAAGCUUCCAUUUGCCGUUUGCCGAGUCCCCGACGUCCUCUGAGGCUCAUCACCUGACUGAGAAUGCAGACACAAAGCCUGACAGGCCUGGACUCUCCUCAGGUGUCUUCUGCCUUAAGGAAAUACUUUCUACCAUCUUUGACUCCAAAGCAAGCCAUGUUAUACAAUAAACUGAAGCUUGAAAAUUUAAAAUGCUAAGUAUGUACAUACAUUGGCUACUAAAGUCGAAAUCACCAACUAACCCAGGAACCUCGCAGGACUGGGAACUUCUGCUGUCAGUCAUGCGAACAUGAAAACUCAGAAGAGAAAACCUACUCGCUGUGUUUCAGACUCUAAGUCAGCCCCCACAAAACGCCCCUUCCCAAUUUUACCACCCUGAGCAGUAUUGUGGAUUUCCGAAGUGUCAUGCUUUCAAAAUCAAAUUACAACACACUUUGUCUAAUGGCCAUGCUCCUCCCAGAAAGUCUUCCACAGUCAACGAUUUACCUACUAACAUCCAAGUUCCGUCUGCGUCAAACAUGUCAGCCGUGACUAUAGUACGUGCUCUCUUCCUCUGCUAGGUUUUACAUUUCUUUACAAUUUGCAUCUUUUUAAUAUCCCAUAACCAAAACUGGGCCUGCUACUCAGUGGCGUAGUUAACUGUUUCCAGUUCUGUUUGAGGUUCUUUUGAUGUCUUGCCACGCUAGAAAUCACGAGUGAACCCAGGGCUCUGCACAUGUGUGGGUGGCAAGCACUUUAGCACUCAGCCAUAUCCCAGCCAAGACCAAGCUUUUUCAAAGAAUCCAAAGAGCCAGAGAUCCAGCUCAGAGGUGGAGGACCUGCUUAACUCGCACAAGGUCCCUCAGGGCUAGGGGGACUAAAUGGGUGGGUGGGUGGAUAGCUCAUCACCUGUGUAUGACACUAACAUUACUGACUCACCUGCAGCUUGUGGUCACCCAGGCCCCGCCCCCCACUUUACACCUAGUUUGUCCUUUCCCAACUGGUAUUUAUACGAUUGUCUUCAUCCGCACACCACCUUGUGCUUCAUUCAUUAAAUUUGAUCCACUUGCCAUAACACUUUAACUUACAGCAGCAAUUAUAACGCAAUUCAUAUCUGUCAUUUAUGCCUUGAAAUGCUAAGAAUAUUAAAGUCCAUAUGAUCAAUACUACACGGCAAGAGGGAUUUGAGACGUGACACUACGGGACAUCCCCCAUUGAAACCUACCUCCACUGGACGGUCGUCCUUCACCAGAGCUACACGAGCUCUUUGCAAGGACCCAUUCAUAAGCUUAUGAAGUCGUAAAAUUAACUUUCUUAGCCCCAUUUGCUUCAGUGCUUUGUCCACGAAUGGUCUAUAGAUAGAAGUCAAACAAUGCCUGCUGGCUUCAGGGCCACAGUCCGCUGUCCCCCAGCCUAUGGAAUCUUCCUCUGACUCGAGCCUCUCCAGCUUCCUGGAGACGCAGCCCUGGGAGCGACUGUCCAAGAUGGCGUCUGUGGACAGCCUGAGCUCUGGCACCCUCGGACUGGGGGUUGGCUCCUCGUCACUCUCCUCCGUCCCGCUCUCCAGCUCCCUCAGCUCAACCUCCGUGUCCUCGACCUCGUCCUCUGGCUCGUAGCCCUUGGACGGCCGAGGGGAGGGGAUUUCAAACACUGGCCAGCCAAUGUCUGAUAGGUUCUUGAUGCCCAGCACGGUGCCCAUGAUCCGCAGCUUCUGAUUUAGAUCUUUCGUGAUGUUGAGCCACAGGCAGAGCGCCUGCACUCUGUCC
Molecule: long non-coding RNA, 2640 nt
Organism: Mus musculus (house mouse)
Lineage: Eukaryota; Metazoa; Chordata; Mammalia; Rodentia; Muridae
Product: predicted gene, 46605
Exons: 2
Source: RefSeq, a predicted model, not a curated record